Molecule: ribosomal RNA, 249 nt
Filed under: uncultured bacterium
Lineage: Bacteria
Description: partial 16S ribosomal RNA
Rfam family: Bacterial small subunit ribosomal RNA
Source: RNAcentral
UAGGGAAUCUUGCGCAAUGGGCGAAAGCCUGACGCAGCAACGCCGCGUGAGGGACGAAGGCCUUCGGGUUGUAAACCUCUUUCAGCAGGGAUGAAGCGAAAGUGACAGUACCUGCAGAAGAAGCACCGGCUAACUACGUGCCAGCAGCCGCGGUAAUACGUAGGGUGCAAGCGUUGUCCGGAAUUAUUGGGCGUAAAGAGCUCGUAGGCGGUCUGUCGCGUCGGAUGUGAAAACCCGGAGCUUAACGCC